AACAGGAUUAGAUACCCUGGUAGUCCACGCUGUAAACGAUGUCGACUUGGAGGUUGUGCCCUUGAGGCGUGGCUUCCGGAGCUAACGCGUUAAGUCGACCGCCUGGGGAGUACGGCCGCAAGGUUAAAACUCAAAUGAAUUGACGGGGGCCCGCACAAGCGGUGGAGCAUGUGGUUUAAUUCGAUGCAACGCGAAGAACCUUACCUACUCUUGACGUCCAGAGAAUUUGCUAGAGAUAGCUUAGUGCCUUCGGGAACUCUGAGACAGGUGCUGCAUGGCUGUCGUCAGCUCGUGUUGUGAAAUGUUGGGUUAAGUCCCGCAACGAGCGCAACCCUUAUCCUUUGUUGCCAGCACGUAAUGGUGGGAACUCAAAGGAGACUGCCGGUGAUAAACCGGAGGAAGGUGGGGAUGACGUCAAGUCAUCAUGGCCCUUACGAGUAGGGCUACACACGUGCUACAAUGGCAUAUACAAAGAGAAGCGAACUCGCGAGAGCAAGCGGACCUCAUAAAGUAUGUCGGAGUCCGGAUUGGAGUCUGCAACUCGACUCCAUGAAGUCGGAAUCGCUAGUAAUCGUAGAUCAGAAUGCUACGGUGAAUACGUUCCCGGGCCUUGUACACACCGCCCGUCACACCAUGGGAGUGGGUUGCAAAAGAAGUAGGUAGCUUAACCUUCGGGAGGGCGCUUACCACUUUGUGAUUCAUGACUGGGGUGAAGUCGUAACAAGGUAACC
RNAcentral lists this ribosomal RNA (731 nucleotides) under uncultured bacterium. RNAcentral's name for it is "bacterial SSU rRNA". It matches the Rfam family "Bacterial small subunit ribosomal RNA", at positions 771 to 1501 of the family's 1533-position model. The record is from RNAcentral.